UACGAAGGGGGCUAGCGUUGCUCGGAAUCACUGGGCGUAAAGCGCACGUAGGCGGCUUUUUAAGUCAGGGGUGAAAUCCUGGAGCUCAACUCCAGAACUGCCUUUGAUACUGGGAAGCUUGAGUCCGGAAGAGGUGAGUGGAACUCCGAGUGUAGAGGUGAAAUUCGUAGAUAUUCGGAAGAACACCAGUGGCGAAGGCGGCUCACUGGACCGGUAUUGACGCUGAGGUGCGAAAGCGUGGGGAGCAAACAGG
This 253-nucleotide ribosomal RNA is filed under the name uncultured bacterium. RNAcentral's name for it is "partial 16S ribosomal RNA". It matches the Rfam family "Bacterial small subunit ribosomal RNA", at positions 524 to 776 of the family's 1533-position model. The record is from RNAcentral.